UACAGAGGGUGCAAGCGUUGUUCGGAUUCAUUGGGCGUAAAGGGUGCGUAGGCGGCGCGGUAAGUCGGGUGUGAAAUCUCGGAGCUUAACUCCGAAACUGCAUUCGAUACUGCCGUGCUUGAGGACUGGAGAGGAGACUGGAAUUUACGGUGUAGCGGUGAAAUGCGUAGAUAUCGUAAGGAAGACCAGUGGCGAAGGCGGGUCUCUGGGCCGAUAUUGACGCUGAGGAGCGAAAGCGUGGGGAGCAAACAGG
RNAcentral lists this ribosomal RNA (253 nucleotides) under uncultured bacterium. RNAcentral describes it as "partial 16S ribosomal RNA". It matches the Rfam family "Bacterial small subunit ribosomal RNA", at positions 524 to 776 of the family's 1533-position model. The record is from RNAcentral.